AAAGCAAGCUGCAAUUACAGUGCUUCAUUUUGUGAAAUACUAAAUACUGCCAUUAUCCUGCUGAAAGAAAAGCUGUGUUAAUGAUUUUUGAUUUUGUCUUUGUGAGAGUAAAAUCAUGACAGAUUGACAUGGACAAUU
Cercocebus atys (sooty mangabey) is the source of this 138-nucleotide small nucleolar RNA. NCBI's taxonomy places the organism in Eukaryota, Metazoa, Chordata, Mammalia, Primates, Cercopithecidae. The record is from Ensembl.